CAGCUCCAACUGGAACUCCAGGGCAGAGGGGAAAACAGCAGGGAGGGUGAGAGACACUCCUCCAGCACUAUUCAGCACUACCAUCUUUCAUCAGCCAAGCACUUCACUUCCUCCCCCUUGAAGUGAGCUCAGUGUCAGUGAAGUCAGAGGGAGCUGUGCCUUUGGCCUCAGUGGGGAGCAGGAUUUGGCCUGAAGCUGCAAAACUGCCACCUGAAAUUUUAACCAAAGAUUUUUCUCCAGGACUUUGUCAUUUGGAGUCUGGAUUACCUCUGCACCCUGGUUCCCAGCAGCUGUAGCCUUUUCUGCUGCAAGUUCUCCUAGAAGGUUCUUGUCCUGCCUUGCCGAUGGGAAUGCCUUACCCCACUUUGAAUGUCCCACCACUGUACCACCAAAGAGCAGGAGAAAUUAAGACAGAGGAGUGUCCAUAACAAGGUGCCCUUGCUCUUCUGCAGCUCUCCCUGUACUGGAACUCCUGCCUGCUGGAUAUGGGAAGGCACGAGAUAACCUGUCCGUAGUUCAGCUGAGUCAAAUUUUGGCCUGACAGUGAGGACUUGAGUGAAAGCCUGGAGAAAAAGACCUGCAGGAAGAACAGGUCAUGAUCAGCAAUCUACUGUCAGUCUUCAGACAUUUCUAUGAGCUUCAAUGGAAGUUAAAGGCCCGUUGCAGAUACGCCUUUCUGAAGAUGUUUCCUACAGUACAAUACUUUUAAAUUUUAAAAGAAAAAUACUGCUCUGCAGAAAAUAACCCUUCAUGUGGCACAAAACACAAUUCUGAGCAACAACCAGAUCUGCAGAUGUUUGAUUCUUUUGCACAAUAUCUUACAUCACCUUCCUCAGUUCUCUAGAAAAUGCACAAUGAAAUACAAGCAAGUAUAUAAUUUUAUUUUUGUUGUGAAGCAAUUCUUCUCAUGAAAGAUAGGAACUCCGGAGAGUACUUCAGACUGUCUUUUAUAGUUUCUGUAACUAUAACUAAAACAGGUUUUCAACAUAAAUCAGAGUGAUAUGACUAUUUACAAAUCUUAUACAGUGCGUUUUUGUUCUUUCUGUGCAAAAUUCUUACAGGAUCCAAUAGGAAAUUAGUCUUUUACAUUCAGCUUCAAAGACAACAUUCUCAUUUAUAGCAAACAUUCUCAUUUCUUGAAAAAAAAAAGAAAAAUAUGAGAGCAGGUGAUGGUGAAGGAAGCUGGGAGACUUGGGGUAUUUGGGAGUUUUCCCUCUGUGCAACACACACACUGUGGUGAGGCUGUGAAACCAUUUCAUUAUGAGGUGCCAACAGAAGUGCAUGUUCCAGAUUUACCCAGCUGGGUCACUGGAAGCCAGGGAGCAAAUCCCCAGGUUAUGCUGCAUAGACUUUUACAUGUGGCUGGUGUA
This is a long non-coding RNA of Corvus hawaiiensis (hawaiian crow), 1370 nucleotides long. RefSeq lists it as uncharacterized. The record is from RefSeq and is a predicted model, not a curated record. NCBI's taxonomy places the organism in Eukaryota, Metazoa, Chordata, Aves, Passeriformes, Corvidae. The transcript is spliced from 4 exons.